AACCCCCAGCUAGGCUGGGGGUUCCGGAAAGCUUUCAGCUUUGAGCCAGUUAUUAAAACCCCUUUUGAUUUGUUAGUAAGCGUCAACGG
RNAcentral lists this small RNA (89 nucleotides) under Escherichia coli. Its description in RNAcentral is "Hfq binding sRNA". It matches the Rfam family "STnc490 Hfq binding RNA", at positions 1 to 89 of the family's 124-position model. Lineage: Bacteria; Pseudomonadati; Pseudomonadota; Gammaproteobacteria; Enterobacterales; Enterobacteriaceae. The record is from RNAcentral.